Felis catus (domestic cat) is the source of this 1164-nucleotide long non-coding RNA. RefSeq lists it as uncharacterized. NCBI's taxonomy places the organism in Eukaryota, Metazoa, Chordata, Mammalia, Carnivora, Felidae. The transcript has 2 exons. The record is from RefSeq and is a predicted model, not a curated record.
AUGACAAAAUUUUCAUGAGUCAUUGAAAGUACUGUGGGGCCUGGGCUCUGCCGACCGUGCCUAAAGGAUUUAGACCUGCGUGCACACGAAUAUGAAAUUAAAAAGCAUGGUUAUCCGAGUAGGAAAUAAAAUUACCCACAUACACAGACAUAGGCACACGCAGUGCUCACACGAAAUCCCCUACAAUUACGAGGACGGUAAACGGGCUGUGCAAGCCGGGCGUCCUGCGCGGCCACUGCGAGGGUCUCCUCGGCCACUGGGCAGCGAGGCCGGGCCAGCUCGGAAACCGCCGGAGAGGAGGCCGACCAGGGAAGCUGCUGCCCCGCGGCUCGGUCCGCGCACCGCUCGGUUCCGCGCUCUCAUCUGCGGACGGCCCGCUGGAUUGUUGCGAACGUCCAGCGGCCGCGAGGCGAGGCCGGAUCGCCACGGUUUGCGCAGCAGAAAGGGACGAAACGGGAAACAGCCUGCCGGCGGCGACGCCACCAACCGAGAAAACGAACGACCCCACCGCGGAGCCCGAAAAACGAAACGUGGCGCAGGCGCAACGUGAGGCUCGCUGGGGGCGGGACGCGUGCCGCGGAAACGGCCCAAUCAGGGGGCGUCAUGGACGGGCGUUGCAGGAAGGCCCACUGAGGGAACCAGCGUGGGGGGCGCGGCAGGACAGACCAAUGAGAAAGCCGGCGUGUGGGGGCGUCGCAGGACGGGCCAAUGAGAGAGCCGCCGUGGGGGCGUGGCUAUGAGACUGGCUGUGCGGAGGCGGGGCCUGCCGGGCCACAGGGUCAUUUCCAUGCCUGUGUGGACGUGGAGGAUGCAGGACCGUCGCUGCGAAUUUUUAGGACUUUCCAGUUCCAGUUUAGACCUGAAUGUGACGGGUUUGUGUUGCUGUUUGGCAUUCGUAAUUCAAGAAAAUCCUUUCUUCUGGUUGAAAGCACGGUGUGAUUCCCUGGCCUUCCUGCAUCAGCAUCACCUGGAUAAUACAACCGGCAAAUAACCGGAUCCUGCUACAGAUCUGGUGCUGGAAGUGACACCUCAAAUGUCAGCUGAGCUAACCCAAGCUGCUUACCUUCAAGAUCGUUACCAGAGCCAAAACAGUGCUCAGGCUUUUCCCGCUCAGACUUCGAUGCCAGAAGAUAAAGUGAAAAAUAAAUGUGUGUCUAAAAAGGA